RNAcentral lists this ribosomal RNA (270 nucleotides) under uncultured bacterium. Its description in RNAcentral is "partial 16S ribosomal RNA". It matches the Rfam family "Bacterial small subunit ribosomal RNA", at positions 524 to 791 of the family's 1533-position model. The record is from RNAcentral.
UACGAAGGGUGCAAGCGUUAGUCGGAAUUACUGGGCGUAAAGCGUGCGUAGGCGGUUUCUUAAGUCCGUUGUGAAAGCCCCGGGCUCAACCUGGGAAUGGCAGUGGAUACUGAGAGGCUAGAGUGUGUCAGAGGAUGGUGGAAUUCCCGGUGUAGCGGUGAAAUGCGUAGAGAUCGGGAGGAACAUCAGUGGCGAAGGCGGCCAUCUGGGACAACACUGACGCUGAGGCACGAAAGCGUGGGGAGCAAACAGGGAUUAAGAAACCCCUGU